Molecule: non-coding RNA, 84 nt
Organism: Endogone sp. FLAS-F59071
Lineage: Eukaryota; Fungi; Mucoromycota; Endogonomycetes; Endogonales; Endogonaceae
Source: the annotation of a GenBank genome assembly
GCGUAGUUGGUUUAGUGGUAUAAUUCUCGCCUGCCAUCUAAUGACAGACCGCGGGAGACCUGGGUUCGAUUCCCAGACUACGCA